GAAAUGCGAUAAGUAAUGUGAAUUGCAGAAUUCCGUGAAUCAUCGAAUCUUUGAACGCACAUUGCGCCCUCUGGUAUUCCGGGGGGCAUGCCUGUCCGAGCGUCAUUGCAACCCCUCAAGCACGGCUUGUGUGAUGGGCCCUCCCGCGUCUUGGUCGUCAAGACGGGCCCGAAAUGCAGUGGCGGCUUCGCGGUUAUCCGAUCAGCCAGAGCGUAUGGGGACUCUCUCUCUUGUCACACGCCCGCGGCGCGGACCGACGCCUGUCGACCUUUAUUCAUCUUCUCUCGGUUGACCUCGGAUCAGGUAGGGAUACCCGCUGAACUUAAGC
Molecule: unclassified non-coding RNA, 328 nt
Filed under: plant metagenome
Description: partial contains 5.8S ribosomal RNA, internal transcribed spacer 2, and large subunit ribosomal RNA
Rfam family: 5.8S ribosomal RNA (bases 1-105)
Source: RNAcentral